GGAGUUUGAUCCUAGCUCAGAAUGAACGCGUGGAAAAUACAUUACACAUGCAAAUUAUAUGUAUUAUAAAAUACAUAGUGUACCGGUGAGUAAUAAAAAGGGUUACCUUUAGAUUAAAUAUAAUAUAUAAAAUUUAAUAUACACAUUAGUGUUUUUAAAAAAUGUACUUUAUUGUCUAAAUAUAAACUUUUAUCUAAUUAGCUAUUUAAUAAAUUAUUAUAUUAAGGCGAGAAUUAGUAGUUGGCCUGAGAGGGUGACCAAUCACAUUGAGAUUGAAAAUGCUCAAACUUCGUAGGAAGGCAGCAGUGGGGAAUAUUUUGCAAUGAGCGCAAGCUUGACAGAGUCAUUUUCCGUGAAGGAUGACAGUAAUUUAAAUUAUUGUAAACUUCAGUUAUUUUUAUAAGCUAGAGAUUUAAAAAUAAAAGCAUCGGCAAAUCUUCGUGCCAGCAGCCGCGGUAAUACGAGAGAUGCUAGCGUUAUUCAGAAUUAUUGGGCGUAAAGUGUGUGUAGGCGGUUUAUUGUAUUUUAUUAGAAAAAUUAUAAUUAAAUAUAAUUAUAUUUAAAAGAUUAAUAAACUAAGAAAUUAUUAAAAAUAAAACAAACUUUAUGGGAAGUAGUUUAAUAUGUUGAUCCAUAAAGGAAGAUUAAUGUGAAAACUUUUUAUUAGAAUAAUAUUGACGCUGAGACACGAAAGCUAAGGUAUCAAAUGAGAUUAGAGACCUCAGUUAGUCUUAGCCGUAAAUGAUGAAAACCUAAAAGUAUAAUUAUUAAAAUACUAUUUUUUAAGCUAACGCUAAAAGUUUUCCGCCUGGGUAGUACGUUCGAAAGAAUGAAACUUAAAGGAAUUGACGGGGGUCCUUACAAGCGGUGGGGCAUGUGGUUUAAUUCGAUGUAACACGAAAAACCUUACCAAAACUAGACUAAUCAGGUAGUGCAUGGCUGUCGUCAGUUUGUACCGUGAGGCGCUGGAUUUAGUUCCAUAACAAACGUUACCCUUUUAUAAUAUUAAUAUAUAGUAUAUACUGCUUAAUUAUUAUAAUAUAAUUUAGAGGAAGGCGAGGAGGACGUCAAGUCAUCAUGCUCUAUAUGUUUUGGGCUACCCACAUGCCACAUUGAGAAAUAUAAUAAAUUAUUAAUCAUAUUUGUAUUGUAAAAUACAAAUAAUUUUAAAAAUUUUUCAUAGUACAGCAUUUAGAUUGAAAUUUCUAAAUAAAGAAGGAAUCGCUAGUAAUCAUUGGUCAGCUAUACAAUGGUGAAUAUUCUAAAGGAUCUUGUACACACCGCCCGUCACAUCAGGGAAAUUUAAUAUUAUAAAAAUAAAUUUACAUUAAUAUAUAAUAUUAAGUAACUAGGGUGAAGUCGUAACAAGGUAGCCGUACUGGAAGGUGUGGCUA
Molecule: ribosomal RNA, 1394 nt
Filed under: Protobothrops mucrosquamatus (brown spotted pit viper)
Lineage: Eukaryota; Metazoa; Chordata; Lepidosauria; Squamata; Viperidae
Description: bacterial SSU rRNA
Rfam family: Bacterial small subunit ribosomal RNA
Source: RNAcentral